Molecule: long non-coding RNA, 1192 nt
Organism: Rhinichthys klamathensis goyatoka
Lineage: Eukaryota; Metazoa; Chordata; Actinopteri; Cypriniformes; Leuciscidae
Exons: 4
Source: RefSeq, a predicted model, not a curated record
AUUUCGCCACAGAGACUGCAGCGCUUCCAGACUGCGAACAAGGUUUCAUUAAAGUCCCUCGCUCUGACCUCAACCCAAUGACUGCAAAUAAGGAAACAUGAAGAAUGUCCAAAUACGCCACAAUGUUCAGAUUACCUCUCAUUGCCAGCGGAAAGCUAAUCACAGGUCUGUUGGAGUCAGCAUCCUGGGAGCAUUUCAAGGGGAACAAUCCCUGACCUGCUCACUUCAGCUGAUUCUGCCCAUGUCCCCUUGUGCGCGCGUUGUGUGCAGCCUGGCAGGUGGUUGUACGGCAAGUCACGUAACUUGCACAGCGGGACGGACAACAUAAAGAUCAAGGCUAGUUAUCGAGCUCAUGCAUUGUGGAGGAUUAGUCUUGGUGGGCAUCCAGCUCGCCCCUGGUAUCCUCUGCAUGCGCUUCGCCUCUUUCAAGCCUGUCCCUCUGCAAGCUGUUCCUGGACCCUGGCACUGCCCUCUGUUUUGCCCCCCGCUAUGUUCAUUUAUCUCCAUACACUCUUCUGACAGCCCCAGGUCUUAAGCUGGCGCUGUGGGCGACCGCCUCGCCCGUCCAAAUCCACUCUGGUCCUCCCAUCUGUUUGGCACUGGACCGCGGGCAUCUGCUGAAGGCUAUUGUUGGGUACCGUCAUAUGCCGGGCCAAAAGGGCCCCAAGAGAGCCGCCGUCGUCCUGUGUAUAUGGUGUGUUCGGUGGUGUUCAAUGGUGUGUGGUUGUGCAAAAGUGUAUGUUUGCUUGUGGCACGAGCUCAGAGAAACGGCGGCAGGUCUUGGCCCCAGUCAGGGCCUUUGUUCUGGAGCGGUCCGGAAGCAGGCAUGCUGUGAAACCCCACAGUGCCCUGGCGGGGCAGUCGGAAUGCCCUCCUGCAUCAGGGACUUGACACCGGGUCAAAACACAGUCCAUCUCCAAGAGCCACAGAGCGCGUCUCGGGAGGAGAUCGCCACUAAUGAAGUCCACCCACUGAUGCCAGGCUUUGGGAAUUGUUUGCCCUGCGAUUUAGGGUGUCUUAUUGAUUGCAAGCUUCAUGAAACUCGAUCUGCAGAUGACACGGUGAAUUGCUGAGAUGUGCAAGAAUAUAAAUUUGCUCAUGACUGUCCAAAAUGAGGACGUCUAUACUGUUUCCUGCCAGAUUAAAUAACUCCUUAAAGAUCCCAUGAUAUCAAAAUUGGAGUCAGUGUCUG